GACAGAGGGUGCAAACGUUGCUCGGAAUCACUGGGCGUAAAGGGCGCGUAGGCGGGGAUGUAAGUCGGGCGUGAAAUCCCUAGGCUCAACCUAGGAACUGCACUCGAAACUGCGUUUCUUGAGUAUCGGAGAGGAAAGCGGAAUUCCUGGUGUAGAGGUGAAAUUCGUAGAUAUCAGGAGGAACACCAGUGGCGAAGGCGGCUUUCUGGACGGUAACUGACGCUGAGGCGCGAAAGCGUGGGGAGCAAACAGGAUUAGAUACCCUGGUAGUCCACGCUGUAAACGAUGAGCGCUAGGUGUCGUGGGUAUUGACCCCCGCGGUGCCGAAGCUAACGCAUUAAGCGCUCCGCCUGGGAAGUACGGUCGCAAGACUAAA
RNAcentral lists this ribosomal RNA (376 nucleotides) under uncultured bacterium. RNAcentral describes it as "bacterial SSU rRNA". It matches the Rfam family "Bacterial small subunit ribosomal RNA", at positions 524 to 898 of the family's 1533-position model. The record is from RNAcentral.